AUGAUACUAUACCUUGAUGCGCUUGUCCAUGACAUCCCAAUAAGCAACUGCGCGAUACGAUCGAAUGCAUGGGAUAGUACUCUAAUUGCCAAGGUGAUCAAGAAGGAUACCAUCUCUCCUGAGGAGUAUAGAGGCACGGAGCAGCCACCACUGUUUGGUGGAAUUUUGCAAGCUGAAGCAUUCGUGGCAUCCAAGUUACCAAUUACCUACAAUCCUCAGAAAAAGGCAAAGAUUGCGAAAGUGGUCAAUGACCUGUGCAGGGCUGUAACUGAACAGNNNNNNNNNNNNNNNNNNNNNNNNNNNNNNNNNNNNNNNNNAGGAGAGGAGGAGGAGGAACAUAGUGAGGCAGAGGAGGAGGAAGAAGAAGGUGAGGCCGAAGAGGGGGACGGGGACAAAGGUGCAGCAGUUGAUGGCAGUGAGAGGGGAGAAGACAAAGGCGUAGCAGCUGAUGGCAGUGAGAGGGAAGAAGACGACGAUGAAGAAGACGAGGACAGUUAUGGUGAUGAUAAAGGGGGAUCCAAUGGAGGCAGCGACAUCAGCGAUGAUGAUGAUAAUGAUGAUGACAACGCCCCUGGUUCUGGUGGUACAGGCGGCAACACAGCCAGGAGGACUAGCACUUCUGCCACCCCUGCCAGCAGCAGCAAUUCAUUGAGUAGCAGGAGCACACUACAGAUGUUAAUCAACAAAACUUGCUGGAAAGACAAGGAUUUGCCGAAGUCAAAGAAAAAUGACGAAGCAGAGUCUCAGGGCAGCAUUGAUAUGUUCAAGCUCUGUAACUUGAUGCUAGCUUUGCCAACCAACUUUCCUGUGCUAGAUUUUAGCGACCAAGAUAUGUGUGAGAAGAUCAACUUUGCCAUUGACAAGAGCCUAUUCUUAUCAAGUGUUGCUAAAAAUAAUCAAAUUGACAUGGAGGAAGCAGGAAAGGGUCUUGACUGGGUUCAUUCAAAGGAAAAAUACAAGGAAUAUUUGAAGCAGCUUCCAGACCUAAGCUCCGGCAAGAGCAAGGCAGCAUCCAUGGCAAACCCUCACGUGGUCCAGAAGCAUAAAGCAGUUUCAAUGAAGAAGAAUCUGCAGUUGCCUGAAACCAAGGAGAAGAUGGUGAGUGCAGAUGCUGAAGUAAAUAUGGUCAAGGAAGCUGUGCUUCAAACUGAUAUGCCAAAUGUAGUGAGCAGAGAGCCAACCACCAUCACAGGAGUUCAACAGAUCAAGGGGAAGACUCCCCUUUCAACAGUCCCACCAAAACCACCUAAGCAGCAAAAGAUUGUCAAGUUUGCCAGGGGCACAAAGGGGGAACAGACCACAAAAGGGGUGCCAAGUUCUGCUAGGUUGCUGCCAACUCAGACUGGAAAGAUGCCAACUACAGAUACCAGUGUGCCAACUGAUGUGUCAUCUAGCAGUGUGGUCACAGUCAAAACCACCACAGCUGCUCAGAAAGGCACCACUGCAACUGCAAGCCCCAAGGUGCCUACUCAUAGAGAUGCUUCAAUGCCAAACACAAAAGGAGGUGAUCCUACUACCAAAUUGUCGUCCCCAAGAGCCAGCACACAGCAGCCAAGCAAGCCUGCAUCACCAAGAGCUGACUCUCAGCAACCAUUAACACAAGAGGAGGUGUUCAAGAUUAUAAGUAGGUGCAAGCUUCCAAGGCCGCAAACUACAACACUAUCGCGAACCAAGUCAGUGAAUGAUGCACCCGUGUUUGUGCCACAAGGAGAUGCCCUAGUCCUUGAACCCAUACGAAGAUCAAAGUCUUAUCAUGGUGACGGGUUCUGCGAUGCACCAUCUUUUCACCUCGGCAUAGAUGGUCAUGCUCCAGCACUUGCUCCAGCAGCAGAAACAACGGAAGACGGUGUGAUUUGUAUUGAUGAGUGUGAGUUGGACCCAGCAGCUAUGAAUGAAGGAUGCGCUGCUGCUGAUGCUGGAAAGGCAAUAGCUCAAGAGCUAGAUGUUGGAUCACCAGAGAAUUGCCACACCCCGAUAUGCGCAGAACCAGAAGCUGGCCCGCAGCAUCUCAAAGGUCUCCAUUCAUUGACUACAACAAGAAAAAGUCUUUCAGCUCCAAUGAGGCAGUGA
RNAcentral lists this ribosomal RNA (2070 nucleotides) under Triticum aestivum (bread wheat). Its description in RNAcentral is "partial small subunit ribosomal RNA". The record is from RNAcentral. Lineage: Eukaryota; Viridiplantae; Streptophyta; Magnoliopsida; Poales; Poaceae.